This 459-nucleotide ribosomal RNA is filed under the name uncultured bacterium. RNAcentral's name for it is "partial 16S ribosomal RNA". It matches the Rfam family "Bacterial small subunit ribosomal RNA", at positions 28 to 507 of the family's 1533-position model. The record is from RNAcentral.
GACGAACGCUGGCGGCGUGCUUAACACAUGCAAGUCGAGCGGUAAGGCCUCUUCGGGGGUCCACGAGCGGCGACCGGGUGAGUAACACGUGGGUGACCUGCCCUCACUUCUUGUAUAGCCUGGAUAACUGGGUCUAAUACCGGCUAUUACCUUUUCUCGCCUGCGGUUUGGUGCAAAGUUUUUUCGGCUCGUGCUGGGCUCGCUGCCUAUCAGCCUGUUUGUGUGGUGAUGGCCUACCAAGGCGACGACGGGUAGCCGGCGUGAGAGGGCGACGGGCAACACUGGGAGGGAGACACGGGUCAGACUCAUACGAGAGGCAGCAGUGGGGAAUAUUGCGCAAUGGGCGGAAGCGUGGCGGAGCGACGGGGCGUGGGGGAUGACGGCCGGGGGGUAAUAAACCUCGUUCGACACCGACGAAUUUGGACGGUAGGGGUAGAAGAAGCACCGGCCAACUACGUG